UACGUAGGUGGCAAGCGUUGUCCGGAUUUACUGGGCGUAAAGAGCGCGCAGGCGGUUCAUCAAGUCGAAUGUGAAAGCCCCCGGCUCAACUGGGGAGGGUCACGCGAUACUGAUCGACUCGAAGGCAGGAGAGGGAAGUGGAAUUCCCGGUGUAGUGGUGAAAUGCGUAGAUAUCUGGAGGAACACCGGUGGCGAAGGCGGCAUCCUGGACCGGCAUUGACGCUGAGGAGCGAAAGCCAGGGGAGCAAACGGG
Molecule: ribosomal RNA, 253 nt
Filed under: uncultured bacterium
Lineage: Bacteria
Description: partial 16S ribosomal RNA
Rfam family: Bacterial small subunit ribosomal RNA
Source: RNAcentral